UGGGAAGUGCCGGGCCGGCGGGGAGGGGAGCCCGGGCGCACGGGCCAGGCCGCGGGCUGUCCCAGGGAGCCCCGAGGGCGCGGUGCGCGGGCGCAGGUCGGGCGCAGGCGGGGUGACCCGGGGAAGGGGCGCGCACAGAGACAGAGGGAGCCAGCCGGGCCCCACGGUGUCCUCGGACGCCUCCGAAAUCUCCCUGCGUGUUUGUUUCUUCGGAGCUUCACCGGAGCCUGACUCUGGAACCGGCCUGUCUGCCUGCUGCAGUCUGUCAUUCAACAUUUAUUCAACCAAAAAUACUAAGUCAGCUCUAUACAAACUAAUGGAAGGAUACAGCUAUGCAAAUAUAGAACACUAAAGUGUUACAUGACAGAUGUAUGAGAACUGGGAAGAAAGGACCCUGAAAAGUUAGCUGGUUCCAAGUGACCCUCCAAGGGGAAGAGUGCUGGAUUCAGAGCCCACCUCAGGGGAAGACAGGACCCUCUCCAAGAUGGUUUCCCUAGAAGCUACUACCUCUCCCUGGAGGGUGGAGAUAUUUGCUGGUCAAAGCAAGAAGGCCCUCUGCAGAUGCUGACACCUUGAUAUUGGACUUCCCAGAUUCCAGAACUCUGAGAAAUAAAUUUCUAUUUUAAAUAAAUUACCCAGUCUGUGAUAUUCUGUUAUAGCAACACAAAAUGGACUUAGACGGUAUGCUAAUGAGAUGACUGCUGGCAGGGAGCUCUGAAAUAACUUUAGGAUAGGGGCUGGUUACUACAAAAACAAAGGCAUGUUUAGUGGGUUGGGACUUUCAGCCUAUACCUCAACCUCUGGGGAGGGGAGAGGGCCUGAAGUUUGAGUUGAUCACUAAUGGCCAAUGAUGUAAUCAAUCAUGCCUGUGUAAUGAAGGCUUUACAGAAAACCAAACAGGGUUUGCAGACUUUCUUGAUUGCUGAACACAUGGAGGUUCCUGGAGGGUGGUGUGCCCAGAGAGGUCAUGGAAGCUCCAUGCCCCUUCUCCAAUACCUCACCAGAUGCAUCUCUCUCAUCUGGAUGUUCAUCUCUAUCCUUUGUAAUAUCCUUCGUAGUAAAUGGUCAAACUUAAGUAAAGUGUUUCCCUGAGUUCUGUGAGCCACUUUAGCAAAUUAAUUGAGCCUAAGGCGGGGGGUCAUGAGAGUCCCAAUGUAUAGCCAGUUGAACAGAAGCACAGGUCGCAACCUGAGGCUUGCAAUUACCAUCUGUAGUGUUGGGUGGGGGGAACAGGCUUGUGGGAUCUGACACUGUCUCCCAGUAGAUAGUGUCAGAAUUGAAUUGAUUUUUAGGGCAUGCAGUCGGUGUCCAUUGCAGAUUGCUAGGUGUGUGGGGAAAAACCUCAACGUAUCUGUUGUUAGAAGUAAAUUGUUGAGUGACUGUGUGAGUAUAAGCAAAGGAGUAGGAAAAGCACCUUUGGUUUUUUCAAUAUUUUAGAGAAUCCAGAUGUCUUGGCUCUGAGCCAGUCAUCUGAGGACCAAACCAGGCCGUGCCUAGUAGUGAACCUCUUCUCUUGACCCAACAAGAUUACAAAAAUUAAAAACAAACGAAUAAACAGAGACAGGUCAAAAAAAGUAAACAAAAACCAAAACAGCAAGUCAAAUGAAAGCAGGGCUCUUAAUCAAAGUUCAUCAAGAAGGUAAGAAAAAUUGAUAUGGUCUGGGAAAACAUCAGAGCUGUGAGACAGCAUUCCAACUCUUGUUUUUCUCCCACUUUUUCUUUUUUCUUUUCUUUUCUUCCCCCCACCCCCCACCCCCCCCAUUGAGACAGGGUCUUUCUCUGUCACCUAGGGUGGAAUACAGUGGUGCAACCAUGGCUCACUGCGAACUCAACCUCCUAGGCUCAAGCAAGUUUCCCAUCUCAGCUUUUCAAGCAGCUGGAACCAUAGGCAUGUGCCACCUCACCUGGCUAAUUUUUUUAUGUUUGAAGUUUUUUGAAGAGACAGAGUUUCACUAUGUUGCCCAGGCUGGUCUCAAACUCCUGGGCUCAAGCAAUCCUCCUGCCUCAGCCUCCCAAAGUGCUGAACUACAGAUGUAAGCCAUUGUGCCUGGCCUUCACUUUUUCUUAGGAACCAUAGAUUUAACAAUGAAUCUCUAUAUGAUUAAUAUUCAAAGUGUGGUCUAUGGAUCCGCAGCAUCAGCAAGGUAUGAGAGAUGAUAAGAAAUGCAAAUCUCUGCCUAUUUCAUUUAGACCUGUUGAAUCAGAACCUGUAUUUUUGCAAGAUCCCUGAAUGAUUAAUAUACACAUUGACAUGUGAGAAGCACUGGUCUACAUUACCUAGCAAAGAGUAAAGAAUGGUCCUACAGGUCAGUGAUGGCAGUGCUCACUCUACAUACCAAGGACACCAUGGGGGCCAAUUUAAGGUAGUGCAUGCACUGACUUCCACUCCCAGGGUGUCAUCCGUGUCAUUUUCAGUAAUUACAGUGCCUUAUGCUCUACUCUUUGGCAAGACAGAGGAGGGGAACACUCUCUCCAUGGCUACUGUGCCAGCACAAUCACGUUGUGUCAUACUAUAACCAUAGGGUUUGGCAAUUUGGGACAGUCUUUUUGAAAGACCUAUAACCUUUGUUCUAUAUGAUAGGAACAAAUAUAUAUCAUCCUAGUUUUCUUUUAUAUUAGUCUCGAAAUAUCCUCUCUGAAUGUGUUUACAAUUUCUCUGUGGCCACUGACAGAUGAGAUGUAGUUUAUUAAUAUUCAUCUCAGAAGAAACUUUUGCAAAAACGGAAUGUAUCUGGAGCUAAACAUGAUUAAAUUGACUGACACUGUAUUUAAUUACAUAUUUUAUGGAGAUCCUUUUUUAAAAAUAUAGAAGUGUGGACUACAUGAUUACUCAUUUAUUUAUUUAGUCAACAUUUAUUGAGUAACUACUAUGAAACUGGCCUGGUCUAGCCACUGAAGAUACAAAUAUCAAUAGGCCCUUUCCAAAAGAAUGGUUCUCAGUUAAUGUAGAGUAGAUUGACUGGACUACAGUUUUAUUUCUACCACUUGAUAUUUCGUUGACAUCGAGUAAAUUAAUUAAUUCUCUAAACCUCAAUUUCCCCUCUAUAAAUGAGGAUAUUAUUAGUACUUAAUUCACAGUGUUGAUGUGAGGAUUAUAUCAAAAACAUUUAACAUAUUGUCUCGUACACAAGUGCUAAAUAAUUUUUAAGCUACAAUUACUUUCUACUAUUCUGUGUUAUUCAGAUAAAAUGAUUUUUAUUUUUAUUUUUAUUUUAUUUUAUUUUAUUUUAUUUUUUUCUGAGAUGGAAUCUUGCUCUGUUGCCCAGGCUGGAGUGCAGUGGCGUGAUCUUGGCUCACUGCAAACCCCGCUUUCCAGGUUCAAGCAAUUCUUCUGCCUCAGCCUCCCAAGUAGCUGGAAUUACAGGUACAUGCCACCAUGCCCGGCUAAUUUUUUUGUAUUCUUAGUAGAGACGGGGUUUCUCCAUGUUGGUCAGGCUGGUCUUGAACUCUUGACCUCGUGAUCCGCCCGCCUUGGCCUCCCAAAGUGCUGGGAUUACAGGCAUGAGACACCACGCCAAGCCCAAGGAUUUUUAAAAUACAGAAAUCAGAAUAUAGUUUAACACUGACAAUUGUGUCUAAGUACUCAGCAGAUAGUUAAAGGUGCAUGAAUUGGUGCAGCCAGUGCUUAGUGAGUGCCUACUAGGUGCUAGGCAAUGUGCUCAUGUUACUGAUAAAUGAAUGAAUGGAUUCCAAUUCCUGCUGUUGCGGAGCUCCCCAUCUUAGAUGUGAAAUUUGAUACCUACCUGAGCAAUGUUCUCAGGUAAACUUUCAGGUAAAUACCACCUGAAAGAUUAUAACCAUUUUAAAUAUCAAUAAUGAAACUGAAUUCCUUUUUCUUGGGGCUGUUUUUAGAUAAAAUGCUAUAAAACAUCCAUUUUAGUUCUCAUCAAUUGGUAAGGCACUGCUGUAACACUGCAUUGUCGGUCUUCUCGUUCAGUGUUGUCUGUUUCACUCUCCAGCUCAACCCCAGAGUCCUCACGGCCAUGCAUCCCUGACCCUUGGAGUCACAGUUCUUUCUUGCGACCACUCCCCCACUUUUUUCACAUCUCUGUUUAGAGUCAAGCUGCUUCCUUUAGAAGAUGUAUACCCCUUUCUAUCUAAAGCUGAAUAUCCAUAGUUUGGUCUUAAUUAUGUGUUUUCUUUCACUGUCACGAGUUCUUUGAUCUUUAUUCACAGAUAUGCUCUAUAGAGGCCGUGCUGUGUAGUGGUUAUGGCUAUAGGGUCAGGGAUCAGAUUGUCUUAGUUCAAUCCUGGACUGGGUAAUUGUUAGCUGUGAGGUACCGGGCCAGUUGCUUAAUCUCUCCGUGCCUCAGUUUCUUUAUAUGUAAGGUAGGAUAUUGAUUAUCUUCUGACUCAAAGUGUUAUUUUGAGGAUUAAUUGAGGUAAUACAUGUAAAAUUCUUAGAGCAGUGACUGGCACAAAGUAAAUAAGCUCUGUGUGUUUGUGUGUGUGUGUGUGUGUGUGUGAGAGAGAGAGAGACAGAGAGAAAGAAAGAAAGAGAGAGAGAGAGACUGACUAUGGGUGUGUUGGUUCUGGGUCUUAGCUGAACUAAAUAGCCAGUCUCAGUGAGAACUACCUUUAUUCUCAUCUUCUUCAUGUUCUGCAUUUGUCUAGAAGUCCAGUGCUUUCAUGUGACUCAGCACAUAAGAGUCACCAUCCAGGACAACCAGCCUCUCAUACAUGAUCUCUGGUCCUCCACGCCUUAGAGAGAACAGAUCAGCUCCCUGUGGCAUACAUCAGACUAUAAAGAAAGCUUCCUUCUUUUAAUAGUUCUGCCUUGGGAUACAUUUACCUUAUCCUUUAUUUGAUAACAUAGAUAUUAAAAUUCUACAUUGAUGUGCUAUGUACAGAGGCUGGGAGCCAGACUGUCUAGGGAUAAGUCUGACACUUGCUGCUUUCUGGUUUGUGCAUACAUAAAAUAGUGACAAUAGGACCUUCUUCCUGGAUUUGUUAUGACUAAAUGAAAUGGCCCAUGUAAAGUGCUAUUAAUAUGUAGCAUAUGCCAUUGAGUGGUGAGUCAAAAUGUUAGCUAUUAUUACAAAAACUCAUUUGUUUUUACAUUUAAUAAGUUCUGCCUGGGUAUCUUCACCCACAGGGAAUAAUAAUGAGUUGGGUGGAGUACUUGUUAACCCCUAAGUGAAAGGCAUACACUUAUUUUGCUGAAAAAGUAUUAACAUGCUCUCUUGUAAAAUUGAGAAAGACUCUGGAAGCAAGUGGCAUCCUAAUCUUAGGGAAGGUUAGAAAGUAGAAUUUAUAGGUAACACUCUGGGAAGCCACCUAAAAUGCAUGGGGACUCAUCUCUAACCAUUAGAUUUGUAGUGAAGAUUUGUUAAAGAAAAUUAAAAUGGAAACCAGACAUGGAGAAUCACUUAGAUGAUUCAGGCUGGGUUAGGUCACUUAUGGAAUCACUUUUCCUGGAGCAGGGAAAGCCAGUUAGGCCUCAUAAGUGACCUAACCCAGACUGAUUUGCAAACACAAGUGAAAAUUAACUUGAACUAUUUCUUAUAAAUACUUGUAUUAAAGCAAAAUGAAAUUUAAGAUUAACCACUCAGAAGCUGCCAACUAAGUUAUAUAACUAAAGACUUUCCAGCAGUAUAGGCCAACUAAGGCAAUUGUAUAAAGGUAACCAAUCAAAUAUUUUCUUUGCUUUAGUUCCGUGGUUGUCCUGUAAAAGCCCUCCCCUUGCAUUCCUUUAGUGGAGCCCAUGAACCACUUAUAGUUUGGAGCUGUCUGAUUCAUGAAUUGCUAUUUGCUCAAGUAAACUCUUUAAAAUUUUAUUGUGCCUCAGUUUACCUUUUAACAGGAAAAUAGAUUGGCUCAGCAAAAAUUUCUUCACCACCAUGGUUGAAGAGCUAGCUACAUACCUACACUGUCUGGUGAAAUUUCCUUUUUCAGGGGUAAGACAUUCUAAUGAGGGAAAUGAUCCACAACUGGACUAACCAAGGUGGAAGAGCUGAUGAAAAGACACUGGAGAAUCACGCUUAGAGACAGAUGUGCAUAUGUACAAUACACAGCUCAACACUCAAUGUUUUCUGAAGAAACCAUAAACAACCCAAAUAGUUUUCUUGGAUACUCAUUUUCAGCCUUUUCAACAGGGAAUGCCCAGUUUUGCCUCUUUGCCAGCUACUAGCUACUGAGUUUACCCUGAACUUUGUAAACACUGUUCACUGUUCCCACACGGUCUGUAGUGUUCUUUUGCUUCUCUUCUCUCUUUUCCCUUAUAUAUGUUCUUUUUGUUUUCCUUUUUUGUUUUCUUUUUUGAGACAGUGUCUCCCCGUCUCCCAGGCUGGAGUGCAGUGGCGCAAUCUUGGCUCACUGCAACCUCUGCCUCCCAGGUUCAAGCAAUUCUCAUUCCUCAGUCACCAGAAUAGCUGGGAUCACAGGCAUGCACCACCACGCCCAGCUAAUUUUUGUAUUUUUAGUAGAGAUGCAGUUUUGCCACAUUGUCCAGGCUGGUCUCAAACUCCUGGCCUCAAGUGUUCCACCCACCUCAGCCUCCCAAAGUGCUGGGGUUACGGACAUGAGCCACUGUGCCUGACUUAUCUCUUCUUUUAAGUUUGUUCCUUCACUCAGCCUACUAGUUAACUCCCGUACAUGAGUUAAUAAGUUUUACACAAAAUUUCUCAGCGCAUGCAACACAACUAACUAAAUCCCUCUAUUUAACAGGGAAAGUGCAAUUGUGUGAGAAUGGACAAGUGUGCUGCUGGGUUUUGGGAAUCACUUCUUUGGCUGAACCUUUUUAUUUUCUUUUAAAUCUUAUGACAUAUGCCGUUAGUGAGUUUAUAUAGUUCGGUGUAUUAGUCUGCUUUCACACUGCCAUAAAGAACCACCCGGGACUGGAUAAUUUCUAAAGAAAAGAAGUUUAAUUGGCUCACAGUUCCACAUGGCUGGAGAGGCCUCAGGAAAGGUACAAUCAUGGCGGAAGCCACAGGGGAAGCAAGGCACGUCUUACCAUGGCACAGCAGGAGAGAGAGAGCAAAGGGAGAAGUGCUGCACUUUUAAACCAUCAGAUUUCGUGAGAACUCGUUCACUAUCAACAGAACAGCAAGGGGGAAAUCCCUCCCCAUGAUCCAAUCACCUCCCACCAGGUCCCUCCCCUGACAUGCGGGGAUUACAAUUUGACAUGAGAUUUGGGUGGGGACACAGAGCCAAACUAUAUCAUUUGGUUAAAGAAGUAAGUGGCCUGUAUUUAACUUUUGGGACUGGGAAAAUGAAUUAAAAUAAUUCUUUAUUUUACAGAUAUUAAAGUAAUUGUGAAAUAAAAGAAAAAAUUGUCUGAUAAAACCACAUCUCAUAGAAACCCAAUGAAUGCAACACAUCUAAAAUUUUAUCUGCAAAAAACGAGAGAAGACUUGCCCUUCUGUCAGUAAAGCACAGAUAAAGAGAAGUAAACUUUUCUGGAUUGAGGCAAUAAUUGGGCAUCAAGAGUCCACGUGACAACUGAGGCUGGCAGUUCAAAUGUCACACCUCUUAGGAAUGACUUUCCUUGCACAGUGCUCUCCUCAGGGCACCCUUGACCUCUACAUUCCUCAGGUUGUAAAUCAGGGGGUUUAGCAUCGGGUUGAAAGAACUGUAAAAUAGAAAAAGGACCUUCUGCUGCUCCUCAGGAUGGCGGGACUUAGGGGCCAUGUACAUGACGAUGGCGCUGCCAAAGAAGAGUCCCACUACGCAGAGGUGGGAGGAGCAGGUGGAGAAGGCCUUUCUGCGGCCCUCCCCAGACUGGAUCCUCAGGAUGGCCGCCAGGAUGUGUGAGUAGGAGACCAGCACCAGGCAGAGUGGUCCCACCAGGAUGAACAUGCAGGCUGCAAAGAUGACCACCUGGUUGAGCCAGGUAUCAGCACAGGCCAGCCUGAGGACAGACAGGAUUUCACAGAAGAAGUGGUUGAUUUCACGAGGCCCACAAAAGGGCAGUCUUAGGAUGAGGCUCACAUGGACCAUAGCCAGGAGGGAGCCACAUGUCCAGGAAGUGAUGGCCAGAGUGAUGCAGACUUUCCAGGUCAUGAUGAUGAAAUAUCGGAGAGGGUGGCAGAUGGCCACGUACCGAUCGUAGGACAUCAGCACCAACAGGAGGCAUUCAGUAUGUGCAAAACUCAAAAAGAGAAAGGUCUAUGUCAUGCAGCCAGCAAAGGAGAUGGGCUUGGCUGGAUGCAGGAGGUUCACCAGCAUCUGGGGCACUGUGUUGCAGG
This 8186-nucleotide long non-coding RNA is filed under the name Homo sapiens (human). Its description in RNAcentral is "HSALNT0343927". Lineage: Eukaryota; Metazoa; Chordata; Mammalia; Primates; Hominidae. The record is from RNAcentral.